UUCCUUAUGUUUAUAUAUAAGGUAAUUUCUGCCCAAUGAUUAGUAUUAUUUAAAUGGCUGCAGUAUAUUGACUGUACAAAGGUAGCAUAAUAAUUAGUUUUUUGAUUGGAAACUUGAAUGAAUGGAUAAAUGAAAGAUUUACUUUAUUGAUUUUAUUAUUAAAAUUUUAUUUCUUAGUUAAAAGGCUAAGUUUUUUUUUAGGGACGAUAAGACCCUAUAGAACUUUAAAUUUAGUUUAAUUGGUUUUAAUUUAGAUUAAUUUUAUUUAUUUAAUAUAAUUUUUUAAUUGGGGUGAUUGGAAAAAAUUUGUCUUUUUUUAUUUAAUUCAUUUAUUUAUGUAAGUUUUGAUCCUAUAUUUAGAUUAAAAGAUAAGUUACCUUAGGGAUAACAGCGUAAUUUUAAUGGGGAGUUCAUAUUUAAAUUAGAGUUUGCGACCUCGAUGUUGAAUUAAGAUAAUUCUGUGGUGUAGAAGUUAUAGAUUUAAGUCUGUUCGACUUUAAAUUCUUACA
Molecule: ribosomal RNA, 509 nt
Filed under: Olidiana spina
Lineage: Eukaryota; Metazoa; Arthropoda; Insecta; Hemiptera; Cicadellidae
Description: partial large subunit ribosomal RNA
Source: RNAcentral